AUGGUAGGAUAGAGGCCUACCAUGGUGGUAACGGGUAACGGGGUGUUAGGGCACGACACCGGAGAGGGAGCCUGAGAAACGGCUACCACAUCCAAGGAAGGCAGCAGGCGCGCAAAUUACCCAAUCCCGACACGGGGAGGUAGUGACAAUAAAUAACAAUACAGGGCUCUUUUGGGUCUUGUAAUUGGAAUGAGUACAAUUUAAAUCUCUUAACGAGGAACAAUUGGAGGGCAAGUCUGGUGCCAGCAGCCGCGGUAAUUCCAGCUCCAAUAGCGUAUAUNAAAGUUGUUGCAGUUAAAAAGCUCGUAGUUGAAUUUCGGGAUCAAUAUGUCGGUCGUGCCUUCGGUACGUACUGGUAUCAUUGGUCUCUCCUUUCUGACGAACCAUGAUGUCAUUAAUUUGGUGUUAUGGGGAGUUAGGACUGUUACUUUGAAAAAAUUAGAGCGUUUAAAGCAGGCUUUAGCUUGAAUACAUUAGCAUGGAAUAAUGAAAUAGGACGUUCGAACCUAUNUUGUUGGUUUCUAGGAUCAACGUAAUGAUUAAUAGGGAUAGUUGGGGGCAUUAGUAUUCAAUUGUCAGAGGUGAAAUUCUUGGAUUUAUUGAAGACUAACUACUGCGAAAGCAUUUGCCAAGGAUGUUUUCAUUAAUCAAGAACGAAAGUUAGGGGAUCGAAGACGAUCAGAUACCGUCGUAGUCUUAACCAUAAACUAUGCCGACUAGGGAUCGGAUGAUGUUAAUUUUUUAAUGACUCANUCGGCGCCUUACGGGAAACCAAAGUGUUUGGG
Molecule: ribosomal RNA, 785 nt
Filed under: uncultured Glomus
Lineage: Eukaryota; Fungi; Glomeromycota; Glomeromycetes; Glomerales; Glomeraceae
Description: SSU rRNA
Rfam family: Eukaryotic small subunit ribosomal RNA
Source: RNAcentral